Molecule: ribosomal RNA, 497 nt
Filed under: uncultured bacterium
Lineage: Bacteria
Description: partial 16S ribosomal RNA
Rfam family: Bacterial small subunit ribosomal RNA
Source: RNAcentral
GAUGAACGCUGGCGGCGUGCCUAAUACAUGCAAGUCGAGCGAACAGAUGAGGAGCUUGCUCCUCUGACGUUAGCGGCGGACGGGUGAGUAACACGUGGAUAACCUACCUAUAAGACUGGGAUAACUUCGGGAAACCGGAGCUAAUACCGGAUAAUAUAUUGAACCGCAUGGUUCAAUAGUGAAAGACGGUUUUGCUGUCACUUAUAGAUGGAUCCGCGCCGCAUUAGCUAGUUGGUAAGGUAACGGCUUACCAAGGCGACGAUGCGUAGCCGACCUGAGAGGGUGAUCGGCCACACUGGAACUGAGUCACGGUCCAGACUCCUACGGGAGGCAGCAGUAGGGAAUCUUCCGCAAUGGGCGAAAGCCUGACGGAGCAACGCCGCGUGAGUGAUGAAGGUCUUCGGAUCGUAAAACUCUGUUAUUAGGGAAGAACAAAUGUGUAAGUAACUAUGCACGUCUUGACGGUACCUAAUCAGAAAGCCACGGCUAACUACGUG